RNAcentral lists this non-coding RNA (80 nucleotides) under Amphidinium carterae. Lineage: Eukaryota; Dinophyceae; Amphidiniales; Amphidiniaceae. The record is from RNAcentral.
GUGCAUGCGCCCAUGUCAGUGCAUCAAGUCCUCUUUGCAGCUAGCUUCCAGGCCUGACAAGGUGUCUUUUGUUCAUGGCU